RNAcentral lists this ribosomal RNA (425 nucleotides) under uncultured bacterium. RNAcentral's name for it is "partial 16S ribosomal RNA". It matches the Rfam family "Bacterial small subunit ribosomal RNA", at positions 354 to 796 of the family's 1533-position model. The record is from RNAcentral.
GUAGGGAAUCUUGCGCAAUGGGCGAAAGCCUGACGCAGCCAUGCCGCGUGAAUGAUGAAGGUCUUAGGAUUGUAAAAUUCUUUCACCGGGGACGAUAAUGACGGUACCCGGAGAAGAAGCCCCGGCUAACUUCGUGCCAGCAGCCGCGGUAAUACGAAGGGGGCUAGCGUUGCUCGGAAUUACUGGGCGUAAAGGGCGCGUAGGCGGACAGUUUAGUCAGAGGUGAAAGCCCAGGGCUCAACCUUGGAAGUGCCUUUGAGACUGGCUGUCUUGAGUACGGGAGAGGUGAGUGGAACUCCGAGUGUAGAGGUGAAAUUCGUAGAUAUUCGGAAGAACACCAGUGGCGAAGGCGACUCACUGGCCCGUUACUGACGCUGAGGCGCGAAAGCGUGGGGAGCAAACAGGAUUAGAUACCCUAGUAGUCC